UACGUAGGGUGCGAGCGUUGUCCGGAAUUAUUGGGCGUAAAGAGCUCGUAGGCGGUUUGUUGCGUCUAUCGUGAAAACCUGCAGCUUAACUGUGGGCUUGCGGUGGAUACGGGCAGACUUGAGUUCGGUAGGGGAGACUGGAAUUCCUGGUGUAGCGGUGAAAUGCGCAGAUAUCAGGAGGAACACCAAUGGCGAAGGCAGCUCACUGGGACGGUAUUGACGCUGAGACGCGAAAGCGUGGGGAGCAAACAGG
This 253-nucleotide ribosomal RNA is filed under the name uncultured bacterium. RNAcentral describes it as "partial 16S ribosomal RNA". It matches the Rfam family "Bacterial small subunit ribosomal RNA", at positions 524 to 776 of the family's 1533-position model. The record is from RNAcentral.